This 450-nucleotide ribosomal RNA is filed under the name uncultured bacterium. RNAcentral's name for it is "bacterial SSU rRNA". It matches the Rfam family "Bacterial small subunit ribosomal RNA", at positions 29 to 524 of the family's 1533-position model. The record is from RNAcentral.
AAUGAACGCUGGCGGCAGGCCUAACACAUGCAAGUCGAACGAGGUAGCAAUACCUAGUGGCGGACGGGUGAGUAACACGUGGGAACGUACCCUUUGCUACGGAAUAGCCCUGGGAAACUGGGAGUAAUACCGUAUGAGCCCGAGAGGGGAAAGAUUUAUCGGCAAAGGAUCGGCCCGCGUUGGAUUAGGUAGUUGGUGGGGUAAUGGCCUACCAAGCCGACGAUCCAUAGCUGGUUUGAGAGGAUGAUCAGCCACACUGGGACUGAGACACGGCCCAGACUCCUACGGGAGGCAGCAGUGGGGAAUCUUAGACAAUGGGGGAAACCCUGAUCUAGCCAUGCCGCGUGAUCGAUGAAGGCCUUAGGGUUGUAAAGAUCUUUCAGGUGGGAAGAUAAUGACUGUACCACCAGAAGAAGCCCCGGCUAACUCCGUGCCAGCAGCCGCGGUAAU